Molecule: unclassified non-coding RNA, 377 nt
Filed under: plant metagenome
Description: partial contains 5.8S ribosomal RNA, internal transcribed spacer 2, and large subunit ribosomal RNA
Rfam family: 5.8S ribosomal RNA (bases 1-104)
Source: RNAcentral
AAAUGCGAUAAGUAAUGUGAAUUGCAGAAUUCAGUGAAUCAUCGAAUCUUUGAACGCACCUUGCGCUCCUUGGUAUUCCUUGGAGCAUGCCUGUUUGAGUAUCAUGAAAUCUUCAAAGUAAAUCUUUUGUUAACUCAAUUGGUUUCUACUUUGGUAUUGGAGGUCUUUGCAGCUUCACACCUGCUCCUCUUUGUUCAUUAGCUGGAUCUCAGUGUUAUGCUUGGUUCCACUCGGCGUGAUAAGUUAUCUAUCGCUGAGGACACUGUAAAAGGUGGCCAAGGUAAAUGCAGAUGAACCGCUUCUAAUAGUCCAUUGACUUGGACAAUACUUUUAUGAUCUGAUCUCAAAUCAGGUAGGACUUCCCGCUGAACUUAAGC